RNAcentral lists this ribosomal RNA (1346 nucleotides) under uncultured bacterium. Its description in RNAcentral is "partial 16S ribosomal RNA". It matches the Rfam family "Bacterial small subunit ribosomal RNA", at positions 28 to 1381 of the family's 1533-position model. The record is from RNAcentral.
GACGAACGCUGGCGGCGUGCUUAACACAUGCAAGUCGAACGGAAAGGCCCUGCUUUUGUGGGGUGCCCGAGUGGCGAACGGGUGAGUAACACGUGAGUAACCUGCCCUUGACUUUGGGAUAACUUCAGGAAACUGGGGCUAAUACCGGAUAGGAGCUCCUGCUGCAUGGUGGGGGUUGGAAAGUUUCGGCGGUUGGGGAUGGACUCGCGGCUUAUCAGCUUGUUGGUGGGGUAGUGGCUUACCAAGGCUUUGACGGGUAGCCGGCCUGAGAGGGUGACCGGCCACAUUGGGACUGAGAUACGGCCCAGACUCCUACGGGAGGCAGCAGUGGGGAAUAUUGCACAAUGGGCGGAAGCCUGAUGCAGCAACGCCGCGUGCGGGAUGACGGCCUUCGGGUUGUAAACCGCUUUCGCCUGUGACGAAGCGUGAGUGACGGUAAUGGGUAAAGAAGCACCGGCUAACUACGUGCCAGCAGCCGCGGUGAUACGUAGGGUGCGAGCGUUGUCCGGAUUUAUUGGGCGUAAAGGGCUCGUAGGUGGUUGAUCGCGUCGGAAGUGUAAUCUUGGGGCUUAACCCUGAGCGUGCUUUCGAUACGGGUUGACUUGAGGAAGGUAGGGGAGAAUGGAAUUCCUGGUGGAGCGGUGGAAUGCGCAGAUAUCAGGAGGAACACCAGUGGCGAAGGCGGUUCUCUGGGCCUUUCCUGACGCUGAGGAGCGAAAGCGUGGGGAGCGAACAGGCUUAGAUACCCUGGUAGUCCACGCUGUAAACGGUGGGUACUAGGUGUGGGGUCCAUUCCACGGGUUCCGUGCCGUAGCUAACGCUUUAAGUACCCCGCCUGGGGAGUACGGCCGCAAGGCUAAAACUCAAAGGAAUUGACGGGGCCCCGCACAAGCGGCGGAGCAUGCGGAUUAAUUCGAUGCAACGCGUAGAACCUUACCUGGGUUUGACAUGGAUCGGGAGUGCUCAGAGAUGGGUGUGCCUCUUUUGGGGUCGGUUCACAGGUGGUGCAUGGCUGUCGUCAGCUCGUGUCGUGAGAUGUUGGGUUAAGUCCCGCAACGAGCGCAACCCUUGUUCACUGUUGCCAGCACGUUAUGGUGGGGACUCAGUGGAGACCACCGGGGUCAACUCGGAGGAAGGUGGGGAUGACGUCAAGUCAUCAUGCCCCUUAUGUCCAGGGCUUCACGCAUGCUACAAUGGCUGGUACAGAGAGUGGCGAGCCUGUGAGGGUGAGCGAAUCUCGGAAAGCCGGUCUCAGUUCGGAUUGGGGUCUGCAACUCGACCUCAUGAAGUCGGAGUCGCUAGUAAUCGCAGAUCAGCAACGCUGCGGUGAAUACGUUCCCGGGGCU